Strongylocentrotus purpuratus (purple sea urchin) is the source of this 2027-nucleotide long non-coding RNA. RefSeq lists it as uncharacterized. NCBI's taxonomy places the organism in Eukaryota, Metazoa, Echinodermata, Echinoidea, Camarodonta, Strongylocentrotidae. The record is from RefSeq and is a predicted model, not a curated record. The transcript has 4 exons.
GCCUAGUAUAAUGCAUGGCGCGCUGGAUGAAAUAAUUAGGCACGUUGCUGUGUUUUAACGCUAAAAUGUGCCGUUUGGUUAAAUGACCACAUCACUCAAUCUGUAUCGAGCCAUGUAUUGAAACAGCAGCGGUGAUGUGUUGGGCAGCGAAACAGCAUCGUUAUAUGAAAUAGUUUGUGCUCUGACAGCACAUCACUUUCAUAUCGGCUCUGUUCAGGACAGCGUGUCGAUAUCUCCCAGGCCAGCCGCCCGGCCCUCCCGACGCGACGGUCAUGCAUCCCUCCUUUACUGCGGCGGCGAGCAAAGUGACGAACCUACAAGGCUCAGACAAGAUGAGAAACCUUUUGGACCUCACGACUCUCUGCCAUACCUAUGAGGACACAGGAGGAAAUUGUUUGGUUCAAGAAAGGCAUGGUGCUGGCUGAGCUGUGACUCGAUCAUGAUGUGGAGAUGGAGUUGUCUGGUGUUUCUCAUUACAGAUCCACAGAUUCUGUAUUGCAGAAGUUCAAAGACAGCACUUACUCCUGGGCAUGCCUGCAUUGUUCCGAGUCCAAGAUCUGCUGCUGGCCUAUACAAUACAACAGCUCUCUGAUCUCUAGUACACUCUCCUCAUAAUCCUUGUCAUGCACGUACCUUUGUUUACCUACAGUUAUCUGGGCAUCUUGAUUCUGAAGAGCUGCAAACGCAACGUUGCCCCAAAGAGUGAGUUAGCUACAUCCACUUAAGGAGCUGAAACUAGACAUUUAUGCUGCCCUUGGGUACUAGUAUUCCAUUCCAAUAUGCACGUCUGAACGUGAAGUUGAUCAGUGCUUGAGAAACGGAAUGAUUCAUAGCAGAAACUUACACCCAUCACAUGAUCACAUUAUUUACAGGAAGAGGGUCACAAGAACUGCUUCACAAACACUUUCAUUCUUGAAAAACAGUACAUCAUCAAAGUUUAGCAAGUAAUCUGAACAUUUGAACUUUACAUUUGGCCGCCAGAGGGGUGCAGGUAUUCAAGGGAUGCAGAGAACAUUGGCAAUGGCAGCAGGGCAGAGCAUCCAAUGUCACACCUCACAUCGUUUCCAGAAUGAGGAUCACAAGUAUUCAAUGGAUGCACAGAACAUUGGCAAUGGCAGCAGGGCAGAGCAUCGAUCGUCACUCCUCAUAUCGCUUCCAGAAUGAGGAUUCCAAUUAUUCAGGGAAUGCAGAAAACAAUGGCAAUGCCAGCAGGGCAGAGCAUCCAACGUCACACCUCACAUCGUUUCCAGAAUGAGGAUCACAAGUAUUCAGUGGAUGCACAGAACAUUGGCAAUGCCAGCAGGGCAGAGCAUCGAUCGUCACUCCUCAUAUCGCUUCCAGAAUGAGGAUUCCAAGUAUUCAGGGAAUGCAGAAAACAAUGGCAAUGCCAGCAGGGCAGUGCAUCCAUCGUCACUCCUCACAUCGCUUUCAGAAUGAGGAUCACAAGUAUUCAAUGGAUGCACAGAACAUUGGCAAUGGCAGCAGGGCAGAGCAUCGAUCGUCACUCCUCAUAUCGCUUUCAGAAUGAGGAUCACAAGUAUUCAAUGGAUGCACAGAACAUUGGCAAUGGCAGCAGGGCAGAGCAUCGAUCGUCACUCUUCACAUCGCUUUCAGAAUGAGGAUCACAAGUAUUCAAUGGAUGCUCAGAACAUUUACAAUAGGAGCAAGGCAGAGCAUCCAUCAUCCCUCCUAGCAUCGUGUCCAGAAUGAAGAUCACAAGAGAGGUUUGGCUGUCUUAUUUGUGUAAUGGCCAUGACUGAUGGUUUCAAAGUUGUGUCGAUGAGUGUGUGUCUGCAUUUAAAACCAUUGCUUUUUUUUGUAUGGUGCGACUGCUCGAUUUGAUUAGAAUUUAGUGGUAUGAUUUCAUGUUUUCUGAUCUUUCUAGGUAAAAAUGGUAUGCUUUAAUCCAUCAUUGAUAAAAAAAUAUCUGUAUAUAGAUGUCCCCCCCAAAAAAAAAAAUGAGUUUACAAGACAACAUGUUGCGUGACCCUAUGCUCAAUAAUGAAAAUGAUAACUUUUGAUUAGAA